UUAUGAGAUGGUUUCAUCGCCUCUUGCUCAGCUGUUUUGGUAUUGCCAUUGGCAUUUCUAGAGCCACUUUCUUCCUCUGAACCAUCAUCAUCGAGUGAUGUUUGAUCCAUCUCAGUGGCUUUGUUCUCACACUUUGGAGAACAGGUUGAUGGAGGACUGAAAGCUGGACGGUAUUGAUCCACAUAAGGCUGUAAAUAAGGGUGCUUUAACACCUCAGAUGCCUGUGAAAAUAUGAAGUGAGAAUAUUUAGGAAAAACAGUGACAGUAAACCAUUUCCACAUUGUAAAUAAAUUUGCUCUCAAGAGAAUCUUACUGUUGGUCGA
Long non-coding RNA from Vigna angularis (adzuki bean), 323 nucleotides. RefSeq lists it as uncharacterized. The transcript is spliced from 2 exons. The record is from RefSeq and is a predicted model, not a curated record. NCBI's taxonomy places the organism in Eukaryota, Viridiplantae, Streptophyta, Magnoliopsida, Fabales, Fabaceae.